This 253-nucleotide ribosomal RNA is filed under the name uncultured Oscillospira sp. RNAcentral's name for it is "partial 16S ribosomal RNA". It matches the Rfam family "Bacterial small subunit ribosomal RNA", at positions 524 to 776 of the family's 1533-position model. The record is from RNAcentral. Lineage: Bacteria; Bacillati; Bacillota; Clostridia; Eubacteriales; Oscillospiraceae.
UACGUAGGUGGCAAGCGUUAUCCGGAUUUACUGGGUGUAAAGGGCGUGUAGGCGGGAUGGUAAGUCAGAUGUGAAAACUAUGGGCUCAACCCAUAGCCUGCAUUUGAAACUAUCGUUCUUGAGUGUUGGAGAGGCAGGCGGAAUUCCGUGUGUAGCGGUGAAAUGCGUAGAGAUAUGGAGGAACACCAGUGGCGAAGGCGGCUUCCUGGUCUGCAACUGACACUGAGGCGCGAAAGCGUGGGGAGCAAACAGG